This is a long non-coding RNA of Carcharodon carcharias (great white shark), 529 nucleotides long. RefSeq lists it as uncharacterized. NCBI's taxonomy places the organism in Eukaryota, Metazoa, Chordata, Chondrichthyes, Lamniformes, Lamnidae. The transcript is spliced from 4 exons. The record is from RefSeq and is a predicted model, not a curated record.
GCGAGCCAUCGUGAUAUAUUGUUGGGCGGAUGCGCAAUGAAGUGCAACUGGGCCUGCCAUUAAUCAAGGGGCUAGUUAAGGCCCUUAAGUCAGCAAUCGACAGAUUUUGAGGCGCCCAUGUGAUCUUUGGCUCGGCGCACGGGCAGGAGACCAAAGCAGGAAGGAUAAAAACAUGCAGUGAAAAAGAAACAAAAAUCAAGCUACAGAUGAUAUGGUUGAAGGCCCUGACAAUCGCCGUGGGUGGAAAACUUCGGUUAAGGAAGAAGGAAGACAUGUCAGAGGAACUGUUUUGGAAAGUGGCAUCUUCAGAACAGAUGCGACAGAGGCGAAGGAACUGAGAGAAUGGGAUGGAGUCCCUACAGGAAGCGGGGUGUGAGGAGCUGUAGUCAAGGCUGGUUAUUGAUUCCCCAUAGUUUCGUCGAGGCAUAACUGGCGAGGUACUUGGACUUGGCAGAUUUUCCAUUUCUGUAUGUGAGGUAGACGCUGAGGGAGCCGUUGAAGGAUUCAUCGACUCUUUGGCAGGCUUGAU